RNAcentral lists this long non-coding RNA (209 nucleotides) under Vitis vinifera (wine grape). Its description in RNAcentral is "long non-coding RNA (VVIN_LNC006152)". The record is from RNAcentral. Lineage: Eukaryota; Viridiplantae; Streptophyta; Magnoliopsida; Vitales; Vitaceae.
ACAAGGAGGGACCAAGACUGUGCAUUGAAUUUGCACACUAGAAAACAAAGAUGGGGAUACACACUAAAACUGUGUGCAAAAGGUGCGCACUCAAUUGAGUUUGUGCACUUAGAAGAGACCAAUGCACUAAGUUGAGUAGAGUUUAACGCACUAAUGAUGCAUUCCAAGGAAAGGUAAUGCACACAUUAAGCAUGUGCACUACAAAGAAA